UAGGUUUGGUCCCAGCCUUCCUGUUAACUUUCAAUAGACUUAUACAUGCAAGCAUCCACGCCCCGGUGAGUAACGCCCUUCGAAUCACACAGGACUAAAAGGAGCAGGUAUCAAGCACACACUCUUGUAGCUCACAACGCCUUGCUUAACCACACCCCCACGGGAGACAGCAGUAACAAAAAUUAAGCCAUAAACGAAAGUUUGACUAAGCCAUAUUGACCAGGGUUGGUAAAUCUCGUGCCAGCCACCGCGGUCAUACGAUUGACCCAAGCUAACAGGAGUACGGCGUAAAGCGUGUUAAAGCAUCAUACUAAAUAGAGUUAAAUUUUAAUUAAACUGUAAAAAGCCAUAAUUAUAACAAAAAUAAAUGACGAAAGUAACCCUACAAUAGCUGAUACACCAUAGCUAAGACCCAAACUGGGAUUAGAUACCCCACUAUGCUUAGCCCUAAACACAAAUAAUUAU
RNAcentral lists this ribosomal RNA (465 nucleotides) under Ovis aries (sheep). RNAcentral's name for it is "partial 12S ribosomal RNA". The record is from RNAcentral. Lineage: Eukaryota; Metazoa; Chordata; Mammalia; Artiodactyla; Bovidae.